Long non-coding RNA from Culex pipiens pallens (northern house mosquito), 1693 nucleotides. RefSeq lists it as uncharacterized. The transcript has 3 exons. Lineage: Eukaryota; Metazoa; Arthropoda; Insecta; Diptera; Culicidae. The record is from RefSeq and is a predicted model, not a curated record.
AGGUUUCACCCUUUUUGAAAAGUUUCUACGAAUUUGUCCGUUUUAAAUUCACGAAUCUUAACAAAAUUAUUAAGAAUCGUCAACUUUUGAGGACGCAUUUCAAUCGCAUUUUUUUUAAAUUAUUGUUCCGUGAAAACUAAUAACUAAAAAAAUGAUGUUUACUACUUGAACUCUGUAUUCACAACUCAAGCAUCCAAUCAAAUAUUUAGAGCUAUCCACUAUGGUCUAGCACAGUUGGAUAGCGUGGUGAACAAUUAAUCCUAGCUUUCGGAAGGCCAAACAGUUUACUUUGCAGAACCAUAGAAAUUUUACGCUUUUCCCUUCAACACACGUGAGCCGGUCUCUUGCCACCUCUGCUAUACUACAGACAAAUGGACGUAAAUAUUUGAAAUUUUUAUCAAAAAUAUAUCAGCCACUCCUCACUAGGGCCAUCUUGUUGUGAAUGCACGCACAUAUCGCACGAUAUAUUUGAACAAUUUUCAAACACGCGCAAAAUUUUAGGAGCUGCGAUGAAUUUCAAGUCACCUUGCAUAUUAAACGAACGAGAAUGCAGCAGACUUUGCGGUCUAAGGCCUAGUUAUUCAAUCGUUCGCUGUACGAUGUGGACGCAAAUUGGAACUGCUCGCUCCACCAGCCACCUGUCGGCAGUAUAAUUUUAGGCCAAACGACUAACACUUGCACUACAACUGGCAUGGUUCAAGCAAGUCUAGAACAAGAGAAGAGAAUUGUGCAGCAUUUAAAGUAAAACUUUAUUUUUUGUAACGAUAAAUUACAUCAAUCAACCACAGCAUCAUCUCAUAACAAAAUAUUGUAUGUCAUCGUUGGUCACAACUGUGUGAAUAAAGUGAGAGGAAACAUAAAGGUUCAGUGUUAACCGCUAAAACAGAUCAAGGAUUUUAUACUCAAGUCUACGCUACUAUACGAUCGUGUUUUUUUAGUACUAGUGGAUGUUCGGAAAGCUGCUGCUGCUAACGCGGUUUUCGUAACUAUGUUCUUGUAGUGAAUAUUAAAAAAAACUAGAUUAAAGUUAAGUGUGAAUGACGAACAAUCACAAUGAGAAUUGCAUACACUGUGAUAUUGGGGCUGAUAAUCAAUGGGCUUCUGGUGCUGGGCCGUGGUACCGACUUCAACGAUAGUAAAAGUGAGCGGCGUCGCCAUCCAAGUAGGCUAAGAGGGAACUUCAAUGCAAAAAUCGUCGAAGAGACUGUCGAUGCCUACAAUGCUACAGACAAAAAUAACAACACUAUAUCAGUUGUUAAUAGUGUUACAAACAUUAACAUUGGCCCAACCAAAUUGAACAAGCGGAAAAAUAACAAAGGCAAGGAACUACUGAUCUGUCCACAGGAGAAACAGGCUCCUUUUCAGCUCAUUCCAACUCUAUGUAGACGUAACAGAGAUUGCAAAAAAAGUGGUAGCGAAAUGAAAUGCUGUAAUUUGUUUGGCAGCAAACGAUGCGUUAAAGGAGUUCGAAAGGCGCUGCCAGAACCACCACAUGAUCGUGAGUAUCUAUUAUGGUUUUAAGUUUUCAAAGCUUGUUGACUCUAAAUUGUUGAAAAUUUACCGAUACCGGCUAAGACUUCUUUUCAAACGGGUUGCAAAUGAUCACUUUGUUUUUGGUUUAAGAGCGAGUAUUUCGCCAAUGUGAAACAGGUCGUAUCGAGGUGCUCUUAUUUGGAUAAAACUUCCAGCAUUU